GUUAUUAAAGCCAAAUUCGUCGUGAGGCGGAGACGGAAAACCACGGAUCUCAGAAGAGAUAGCCGGGUUACCGAUU
This 76-nucleotide non-coding RNA is filed under the name Pseudodesulfovibrio aespoeensis. RNAcentral describes it as "Desulfovibrio aespoeensis c-di-GMP sequence". It matches the Rfam family "c-di-GMP-I-GGC riboswitch aptamer". Lineage: Bacteria; Pseudomonadati; Thermodesulfobacteriota; Desulfovibrionia; Desulfovibrionales; Desulfovibrionaceae. The record is from RNAcentral.